Molecule: ribosomal RNA, 253 nt
Filed under: uncultured prokaryote
Description: partial 16S ribosomal RNA
Rfam family: Bacterial small subunit ribosomal RNA
Source: RNAcentral
GACGUAGGGGGCAAGCGUUAUUCGGAAUCAUUGGGCGUAAAGCGCUCGUAGGCGGAUCAGGUAGUCGGUGAAGAAAGACCUGGGCUCAGCUCAGGGAACGGCACCGAUACUCCUGGUCUUGAGGCAAUCAGAGGGUGAUGGAAUUCCCGGUGUAGCGGUGAAAUGCGUAGAUAUCGGAAGGAACACCAGUGGCGAAAGCGGCUUCCUGGUCCAGCACCGACGUUCAGGCACGAAAGCGUGGGGAGCAAACAGG